UUCCUACACGCACGCUCCGCCCUCCUUGACCCGUGCAAUGGAAGCCCCAGCCAGGUGACCACACACUGAUGCCAUUAGGGAGUCUCCGUGGCCGCCGAGGAGCUGAGAGUGGGCUGACAAAAACCUUCAGCAGAGAUGGAGGGAGGCGGUGUGGGGGCUGAGAGAGACCUGGCCAUGGUGAGCAGCAACCAGUUGUCGCCGCCUCUCCAUUGUGACUACACCACGUGUUUACGUUAGUGAUCGCGAAAACAUGAUAAAUUUCCGUUCUCUUUUUUUCCUGCUUGUUUUCCCCGGGUGAUGAUAGUACCGGUUUAAUGAAAGUGGCGUGUUAUUUCAUUUGUGAAUAUUGCACUGUGUUAUGUUUGUGAUGUUCGUGUGAGGAAGGAAAAGAAAAGAUAACAAGUGAAAGAUAACAAGUGAUUUGAAAAGGAUGCGAUCCUUGAUGGUAUCGUCGAGGUGGCGUGCCGUAGGUUAGAGUAGCUGGACAGGAGAGCCCGAAGGAGGCGUGCUCGAUGAUGCAAUUGACCCCUCCUCCUACCUACCCGUGACCCAAGCCCUGGGCACUCCUCGCAGGCACCAGACCGCAAGCACGUCACCUGACCGCGAGGCUUUCCCAGUUCCCUGCCUUGGAACACACGGCAUCGCGCGUCUUCUGUGACGGCACGAGUUUUAAUCUUUCCUCCCAGGGAGCUGAAAAAGGAAAAAAAAUAGUUCGCUUUCCUGAAUCCACAUCUUCCAUCUAGUGCGUAUGGUCCUGCAAGCAUGUUUUUGCCUGGAGUAGCUUUUGUGGGACUUGGGAUCGGCGCGGUUGACAGAUUGCACAAAAAUAAGGCUCGCCGUUAGAUGAACUCGGGCGUCACAAGGCAAGACAUACGAGGCCAGAACCUCAUCAUCAUUUACCGGAUGUGACCUUAAUGUGCUAUGCGCAGCAAUUAUCAUGAUAUUAUCAGAAAACAUCCGAGUGUUGGUGUUGGAGUUAUCAGAUCAUCCUCCCACUUUGAAGUUAAGGACGUGAGCAGUAAACUAGUCAGAGGAGGAGGAGGAUAGAUGUAUGGACGUGCUUGUGUUAUAUCAGUGAAGUGAAUAAGUUAUAUUUAAAGUCUAG
Molecule: long non-coding RNA, 1105 nt
Organism: Penaeus monodon (black tiger shrimp)
Lineage: Eukaryota; Metazoa; Arthropoda; Malacostraca; Decapoda; Penaeidae
Exons: 2
Source: RefSeq, a predicted model, not a curated record